RNAcentral lists this ribosomal RNA (302 nucleotides) under uncultured bacterium. RNAcentral's name for it is "partial 16S ribosomal RNA". It matches the Rfam family "Bacterial small subunit ribosomal RNA", at positions 508 to 807 of the family's 1533-position model. The record is from RNAcentral.
GCAGCAGCCGCGGUAAUACGUAGGUGGCAAGCGUUGUCCGGAAUUAUUGGGCGUAAAGGGUGCGUAGGCGGCCCCGCAAGUCUCAUGUGAAAUCUUCAGGCUCAACUUGAAGUCUGCAUGGGAAACUGCGGGGCUGGAGUAUGGGAGAGGUGAGUGGAAUUCCUGGCGUAGCGGUGAAAUGCGUAGAUAUCAGGAGGAACACCUGUGGCGAAAGCGGCUCACUGGACCAUAACUGACGCUGAGGCACGAAAGCUAGGGGAGCAAACAGGAUUAGAUACCCGUGUAGUCCCUGUCUCUUAUAC